Molecule: ribosomal RNA, 424 nt
Filed under: uncultured bacterium
Lineage: Bacteria
Description: partial 16S ribosomal RNA
Rfam family: Bacterial small subunit ribosomal RNA
Source: RNAcentral
AAUUUUGGACAAUGGGGGAAACCCUGAUCCAGCCAUCCCGCGUGUAUGAUGAAGGCCUUCGGGUUGUAAAGUACUUUUGGCAGAGAAGAAAAGGUAUCCCCUAAUACGGGAUACUGCUGACGGUAUCUGCAGAAUAAGCACCGGCUAACUACGUGCCAGCAGCCGCGGUAAUACGUAGGGUGCACGCGGUAAUCGGAAUUACUGGGCGUAAAGCGUGUGGAGGCGGUGCGGAAAGAAAGAUGUGAGAUCCCAAGGCUAAACCCUGAAACUGCAUUUUUCACUGACGAACUAGAGUAUGUCAGAGGGAGGUAGAAGUCCACGUGUAGCAGUGAAAUGCGUAGAUAUGUGGAGGAAUGCCGAUGGCGAGGGCAGACCCCUGCGAUAAUACUGACGCUCAGACACGAAAGCGUGGGGAGCAAGCAGG